Molecule: ribosomal RNA, 434 nt
Filed under: Klebsiella pneumoniae
Lineage: Bacteria; Pseudomonadati; Pseudomonadota; Gammaproteobacteria; Enterobacterales; Enterobacteriaceae
Description: bacterial LSU rRNA
Rfam family: Bacterial large subunit ribosomal RNA
Source: RNAcentral
ACCGGGGUUGCGGACAGUGUCUGGUGGGUAGUUUGACUGGGGCGGUCUCCUCCCAAAGCGUAACGGAGGAGCACGAAGGUUAGCUAAUCCUGGUCGGACAUCAGGAGGUUAGUGCAAUGGCAUAAGCUAGCUUGACUGCGAGCGUGACGGCGCGAGCAGGUGCGAAAGCAGGUCAUAGUGAUCCGGUGGUUCUGAAUGGAAGGGCCAUCGCUCAACGGAUAAAAGGUACUCCGGGGAUAACAGGCUGAUACCGCCCAAGAGUUCAUAUCGACGGCGGUGUUUGGCACCUCGAUGUCGGCUCAUCACAUCCUGGGGCUGAAGUAGGUCCCAAGGGUAUGGCUGUUCGCCAUUUAAAGUGGUACGCGAGCUGGGUUUAGAACGUCGUGAGACAGUUCGGUCCCUAUCUGCCGUGGGCGCUGGAGAAUUGAGGGGGG